RNAcentral lists this ribosomal RNA (301 nucleotides) under uncultured bacterium. RNAcentral's name for it is "partial 16S ribosomal RNA". It matches the Rfam family "Bacterial small subunit ribosomal RNA", at positions 509 to 807 of the family's 1533-position model. The record is from RNAcentral.
CAGUAGCCACGGGAAUACGAAGGGUGCUAGCGUUGUUCGGAAUCACUGGGCGUAAAGGGCGCGUAGGCGGCCUGUUAAGUCGGAUGUGAAAGCCCGGGGCUCAACCCCGGAACUGCAUCCGAGACUGGCAGGCUUGAGACCGGGAGAGGAGGGUGGAAUAUCCAGUGUAGAGGUGAAAUUCGUAGAUAUUGGAUGGAACACCGGUGGCGAAAGCGGCUCUCUGGCCCGGAUCUGACGCUGAGGCGCGAAAGCGUGGGGAGCAAACAGGAUUAGAUACCCCUGUAGUCCCUGUCUCUUAUAC